GACGAACGCUGGCGGCGUGCUUAACACAUGCAAGUCGAGCGGUAAGGCCCUUUCGGGGGUACACGAGCGGCGAACGGGUGAGUAACACGUGGGUGACCUGCCCUCAGCUCUGGGAUAAGCCUGGGAAACCGGGUCUAAUACUGGAUAUGACUCCAUGACGCAUGUUGUGGGGUGGAAAGCCUUGUGCGGCUGAGGAUGGGCCCGCGGCCUAUCAGCUUGUUGGUGGGGUGANGGCCUACCAAGGCGACGACGGGUAGCCGGCCUGAGAGGGCGACCGGCCACACUGGGACUGAGACACGGCCCAGACUCCUACGGGAGGCAGCAGAGGGGAAUCUUGCGCAAUGGGCGAAAGCCUGACGCAGCGACGCCGCGUGAGGGAUGACGGCCU
RNAcentral lists this ribosomal RNA (388 nucleotides) under uncultured bacterium. RNAcentral describes it as "bacterial SSU rRNA". It matches the Rfam family "Bacterial small subunit ribosomal RNA", at positions 28 to 417 of the family's 1533-position model. The record is from RNAcentral.